RNAcentral lists this ribosomal RNA (198 nucleotides) under Triticum aestivum (bread wheat). RNAcentral describes it as "partial small subunit ribosomal RNA". Lineage: Eukaryota; Viridiplantae; Streptophyta; Magnoliopsida; Poales; Poaceae. The record is from RNAcentral.
AUGGUGGUGAAGUGCCCGGUGGUGUGCGACGAGGCCGUGGUGCAGCAGCUCCUCGCUCUCAAGUGCCCCGACACGGCCACGCGCUUCGACCGUUUCCUCCUCGAGUCGUACCUCAAGAACAAUGACUCGGCGAAGUGGUGCCCGAGCAUCCCGCACUGCGGCCGCGCUACACCGAGGUGGAGUGCCCCUGCGGCCUAG